UUAUUAAACAUUCAUUAGGUUCGUCUGCACAAGUCUCGACGCAGCCUCGCAGAUUGAGCCCUGUACAUCCACAGUCAGGCCGGUCCGUCUUCGGUGGCCCCACACCCUACCCCCCCGCAACGUACUACGGCACGUCAGCGUGGCCUUCUUUUGCUGCACCGUCGUACCACGCAGGCCCCUCCAGCCAGUAUACAUGGACGCCUGCCGAGCCUUCACAGUCCUCCUACCCUAGUCAGGAGGAUGAGGCUGGCCCCGACACCGCAUACGACAUCGUUCGUGACUUCUUCGGGGGCACACCUGACUACGACGUCCUUCAGCGGUCCCAGGUUUCCAGUGCACCGCUUCGAACCCA
Phragmites australis (common reed) is the source of this 352-nucleotide long non-coding RNA. RefSeq lists it as uncharacterized. The record is from RefSeq and is a predicted model, not a curated record. The transcript is spliced from 3 exons. NCBI's taxonomy places the organism in Eukaryota, Viridiplantae, Streptophyta, Magnoliopsida, Poales, Poaceae.